AGCUCCAAUAGCGUAUAUUAAAGUUGUUGCGGUUAAAAAGCUCGUAGUUGGAUCUCGGCAGCCAGGGGGCGGUUCGCUCCAAAGCGUGACUGCCCCAUUUGGCUGUGUGAUUGGCGGAGGUUUCGGGGUGCUCUUCGUUGAGUGUCCCGGUGCGCCGUCAGGUUUACUUUGAAAAAAUUAGAGUGCUCAAAGCAGGCUUUUCAGGCUUGGAUAUUCGUGCAUGGAAUAAUGGAAUAGGAACUCGUUCCUAUUUUGUUGGUUUUCGGGAAUCGAGUUAAUGAUUAAUAGGGACAAUUGGGGGCAUUAGUAUUCAAACGACAGAGGUGAAAUUCUUGGACCGUUUGAAGACUAACUACUGCGAAAGCAUUUGCCAAGAGUGUUUUCAUUAAUCAAGAACGAA
RNAcentral lists this ribosomal RNA (400 nucleotides) under phytoplankton environmental sample. RNAcentral's name for it is "partial small subunit ribosomal RNA". It matches the Rfam family "Eukaryotic small subunit ribosomal RNA", at positions 587 to 987 of the family's 1831-position model. The record is from RNAcentral.